This 492-nucleotide ribosomal RNA is filed under the name uncultured bacterium. Its description in RNAcentral is "bacterial SSU rRNA". It matches the Rfam family "Bacterial small subunit ribosomal RNA", at positions 28 to 531 of the family's 1533-position model. The record is from RNAcentral.
GAUGAACGCUAGCGGGAGGCUUAACACAUGCAAGUCGAGGGGCAGCAUAGGGUAGCAAUACUCUGAUGGCGACCGGCAAACGGGUGAGUAACGCGUAUGCAACCUACCCUGGUACAGGGGGAUAACCCGGAGAAAUUCGGACUAAUAUCCCGUAAUAAUAUCCGGAGGCAUCUUUGGAUAUUUAAAGUUUCGACGGUACGGGAUGGGCAUGCGUAACAUUAGCUGGUUGGUAAGGUAACGGCUUACCAAGGCGACGACGGGUAGCCGGCCUGAGAGGGUGUCCGGCCACACUGGAACUGAGACACGGUCCAGACUCCUACGGGAGGCAGCAGUGGGGAAUUUUGGGCAAUGGGGGAGACCCUGACCCAGCGACGCCGCGUGAGGGACGAAGGCCCUUGGGUCGUAAACCUCUUUUGCAGGGGAAGAGGAAGGACGGUACUCUCAGAAUAAGUCUCGGCUAACUACGUGCCAGCAGCCGCGGUAAUCACGAGA